RNAcentral lists this ribosomal RNA (533 nucleotides) under uncultured bacterium. RNAcentral describes it as "bacterial SSU rRNA". It matches the Rfam family "Bacterial small subunit ribosomal RNA", at positions 370 to 896 of the family's 1533-position model. The record is from RNAcentral.
AAUGGGCGAAASUGACCCAGCAACGCCGCGUGAAGGAUGAAAUCCCUCGGGAUGUAAACUUCGCAAGAACGGGGAGAAUAAGUCUAAGUUAAUACCUUAGGCGAUGACGGUACCGUUUGUAAGCUCCGGCUAACUCCGUGCCAGCAGCCGCGGUAAUACGGGGGGAGCAAGCGUUGUUCGGAUUUACUGGGCGUAAAGGGCGCGUAGGCGGCCUCCGCAAGUCAAUUGUGAAAUCUCCGGGCUUAACUCGGAAAGGUCAACUGAUACUGCGGGGCUAGAGUGCGGAAGGGGCAACUGGAAUUCUCGGUGUAGCGGUGAAAUGCGUAGAUAUCGAGAGGAACACCUGCGGCGAAGGCGGGUUGCUGGGCCGACACUGACGCUGAGGCGCGAAAGCUAGGGGGAGCGAACGGGAUUAGAUACCCCGGUAGUCCUAGCCUUAAACGAUGAAUGCUUGGUGUCUGGGGUUACAAGGUCCCCGGGUGCCGUCGCUAACGCUUUAAGCAUUCCGCCUGGGGAGUACGGUCGCAAGACUG